This 460-nucleotide ribosomal RNA is filed under the name uncultured bacterium. RNAcentral describes it as "partial 16S ribosomal RNA". It matches the Rfam family "Bacterial small subunit ribosomal RNA", at positions 338 to 795 of the family's 1533-position model. The record is from RNAcentral.
CCUACGGGAGGCUGCAGUGAGGAAUAUUGGUCAAUGGACGAGAGUCUGAACCAGCCAAGUAGCGUGAAGGAUGACUGCCCUAUGGGUUGUAAACUUCUUUUAUAAAGGAAUAAAACGAGGCACGUGUGCCUUUUUGCAUGUACUUUAUGAAUAAGGAUCGGCUAACUCCGUGCCAGCAGCCGCGGUAAUACGGAGGAUCCGAGCGUUAUCCGGAUUUAUUGGGUUUAAAGGGAGCGUAGAUGGGUUGUUAAGUCAGUUGUGAAAGUUUGCGGCUCAACCGUAAAAUUGCAAUUGAUACUGGAAGUCUUGAGUACAGUUGAGGUAGGCGGAAUUCGUGGUGUAGCGGUGAAAUGCUUAGAUAUCACGAAGAACCCCGAUUGCGAAGGCAGCUUACUAAACUGUGACUGACAUUGAUGCUCGAAAGUGUGGGUAUCAAACAGGAUUAGAUACCCCGGUAGUC